UUUAUUUUAUCAUAUUGUGCGUAAAAGAGAACAAUUUCUUUAAAUAUUUCAUCGUUUGUAAUUUUGCAUUAAUAAUAGCGUAGGAUUGUAGCGAGUAUAGAAAGGUUCCGUGUGUUACGGAGAAUACGCACGUUUGAUCGUUGGAACAAUCUACUCGUAUAAGACAAGUGAUUUGAUAACCAAAAUGAAGUUGGGUCUUCUGUUCAUAACCUUUUUAAUGGCGAUAAUGUCCGUCAUGUCAUACAGAGCACCAGUGCCGAAUAGAAGACCGGGACAGCCUACUUUCCCUACUUUCCCGGGAACCGGACCGUUUAAUCCGAAAAUACCUCAAGGUCCAUGGGGUAGACCCAGUAUUUAAGAAGUUUUGGUAUACUGAAAAAACAGGAGGAUUAAAGAAAGAGAUUAAUUAA
Molecule: long non-coding RNA, 410 nt
Organism: Vespa mandarinia (Asian giant hornet)
Lineage: Eukaryota; Metazoa; Arthropoda; Insecta; Hymenoptera; Vespidae
Source: RefSeq, a predicted model, not a curated record